AAGAGAAGAUAAGGUAAAAGAUGAAUACUCGUUGGAUCCUGGGGACUCAGGCCGAUGUUGAAAAGAAACUGCUCCCUCAGAAAAUUGGGAAGGGAAGGAGCGGAACAAGCUAGAAGCUUCUGGGCGGCCUGGAGGUCGUUCUCCCCCAGGCUGGGAGCCCGGCGGACAGAAUCCCUCAGAGAGCCCCAAGGGGGCAGGCCCAGUCUCAGGGUCGGGCAGUGGACGAAGA
This 229-nucleotide long non-coding RNA is filed under the name Elaeis guineensis (African oil palm). Its description in RNAcentral is "long non-coding RNA (EGUI_LNC057301)". Lineage: Eukaryota; Viridiplantae; Streptophyta; Magnoliopsida; Arecales; Arecaceae. The record is from RNAcentral.